Gallus gallus (chicken) is the source of this 1255-nucleotide long non-coding RNA. The record is from Ensembl. Lineage: Eukaryota; Metazoa; Chordata; Aves; Galliformes; Phasianidae.
CAUUACUGGUUUUUAUUGGGCUGCACAAGAGUCAUCCUCGCUUCCCUUUUAUUGAGAUUCCAUCCCACGUUUCGAUGAGGAUGGUGAAAUGUCAUUCCUCUCCUGGAAAUCCGCUGCCAGGGCCCCGCCUUCAUGUCAGAUAUUGAAAAGGAAGGAGAGUGCAGACUUCACAGAACGCAACUUGCGCCUCACUGCCCCACGGAUGGCCGGGUGCAGAGCUACUGAGGAGAUGGAGGAGAGCACUCGCUGACACGAGCCAUGGCAGUCAGACACAAGCUGGAUCUAGCGUUGGGCAGCUCUUGCAGCCAGCUGAUUUCCGGACAUUGCGUUUUUCAAGAGACUGCAUUGCACGGCAGAAGAAAGCUGGGAAAAUGCUUCCUCCACGUGACUUUUCACUUGUUGAUACUUUCUGCAGGGUUCUUGUCCCAAAGGAGACAGCGCACACAGGGACGUGAUGGGGCCACAGAGGGACGCGAUGGGGACGGACUGUCCUUACCACCACGCACAAGUGAGCUUCUUUGGUCCUCUGUCAUGAAGUAUGGAGGAACGAAUUUUGAGUGUUACUUCGGAGCGGGUGCAGUGCUGCAGGGGAUGUCAAGUAAGUCACUGUGGAAGCAUUAGAGAGGCCAACAGCGGCAGCUGAUGACUGGAGUGAGACAGAAGUCUGCGUACAAAUGGUGAUGCGUAGAACUGAGUGCAUUCAUUUGAGAGGCAACAAAGAUGUGUCUCAACUUUUGACCUGAUCGCGUUUUGUAUGCUGAUCCACCUUUGCUCUGCAGAAUGCAGAGCUGUCGGGCAGGCUGGGAUUCCUUUGCUGCCAUCUGAGCAAGGAAUGAGACCGGUAAUGCUUUUUGUAAGCGCACUGCAGUUUAAACGUCAGUUUCCAGGCUGCAUGUGGUUCCUUUUUGGUCCUUUUCAACCCAGGCCAUUCUAUGAUUCUGUGAUUCUAUGACGCUGUGAUUCCGUUUUGGCUGUACAAUGGUGUCUUUGGCUUUUUUGGGGGUGGACAUGGGCUAACAGGACAAUACUGCUCCUGGCUACUGGUUUCCAUUAAAUCAGCAAAUUGUAUUUUUGUCUUAGGGAUGGAGCCUGCACGUCCAUCGAGUGAUGGUGGGCAAGGGGGGGAAAUGGAAAGCCUCCGCAGGCGUGUGUGUGACGGAGGAGAGAGGAAAGGACCCUGCCGAUCUGUGCUGACUGCAGAAAUGGCACAACACUGUGGUAGCAGAAAGGCAAACUGAAGAAACUGUGCUUGAAG